GCAUUCGUGGUGUAAUUAGUAGCACGCUCAACUAACACUCGGAAGGUAUGAGUUCGAAUCCCGUCGGGGGUA
RNAcentral lists this transfer RNA (72 nucleotides) under Stegodyphus mimosarum. It matches the Rfam family "tRNA". Rfam says of the family: Transfer RNA (tRNA) molecules are approximately 80 nucleotides in length. The record is from Rfam by way of RNAcentral. Lineage: Eukaryota; Metazoa; Arthropoda; Arachnida; Araneae; Eresidae.